Molecule: non-coding RNA, 404 nt
Filed under: Bos indicus x Bos taurus (hybrid cattle)
Lineage: Eukaryota; Metazoa; Chordata; Mammalia; Artiodactyla; Bovidae
Description: Bacterial large subunit ribosomal RNA
Rfam family: Bacterial large subunit ribosomal RNA
Source: Rfam by way of RNAcentral
GUGGGAAGAAGACCCUAUGGAGCUUUAAUUAACUAAUCCAAAAAAAAUAAUAAUAAUAAACAAUAACCAAACCUUAGAGGGGAUAACAAAGAUUUUAAUGGAUUAAGAAUUUUUGGUGGGGUGAUCUCAGAAAAUAAAAUAACUUCUGAGUGAUUAAAAUUUAGACCAACUGGUCAAAAUGCCUAAUCACUUACUGACCCAAAAUACUGAUCAAGAGAACAAGUUACUCUAGGGAUAGCAGAAGGAUCCUACUCUAGAGUUUAUAUCGAAAAUAGGGUUUAGGACCUCACUGUUGAAUCAGGACAACCCAAUGAUGUAACUGCUAUUAAUCGUUCAUUAGUUCAACGAUUAGUCUUAAGUGAUCUGAGUUGAGAUUCAAGUAGUCCAGAUAGGUUUCUAUCUAU